CCUACGGGUGGCAGCAGUGGGGAAUUGUUCGCAAUGGGCGCAAGCCUGACGACGCAACGCCGCGUGGAGGAUGAAGGUCUUCGGAUUGUAAACUCCUGUUGACCGGGAAGAAUGGCUCCCGGGUGAAUAACCCGGGGGAGUGACGGUACCGGUUGAGGAAGCCACGGCUAACUCUGUGCCAGCAGCCGCGGUAAUACAGAGGUGGCAAGCGUUGUUCGGAAUUACUGGGCGUAAAGGGCGCGUAGGCGGCCGCCUAAGUCAGACGUGAAAUCCCCCGGCUCAACCUGGGAACUGCGUCUGAUACUGGGUGGCUUGAGUCCGGGAGAGGGAUGCGGAAUUCCAGGUGUAGCGGUGAAAUGCGUAGAUAUCUGGAGGAACACCGGUGGCGAAGGCGGCAUCCUGGACCGGAACUGACGCUGAGGCGCGAAAGCCAGGGGAGC
This 440-nucleotide ribosomal RNA is filed under the name uncultured bacterium. Its description in RNAcentral is "bacterial SSU rRNA". It matches the Rfam family "Bacterial small subunit ribosomal RNA", at positions 338 to 769 of the family's 1533-position model. The record is from RNAcentral.